UACGUAGGGGGCAAGCGUCGUCCGGAUUUAUUGGGCGUAAAGAGCGUGUAGGCGGCCAGGUAGGUCCGUUGUGAAAACUCGAGGCUCAACCUCGAGACGCCGAUGGAAACCAUCUGGCUAGAGUCCGGAAGAGGAGAGUGGAAUUCCCGGUGUAGCGGUGAAAUGCGCAGAUAUCAGGAGGAACACCGAUGGCGAAGGCAGGUCACUGGGCCGCAACUGACGCUGAGGAGCGAAAGCAUGGGGAGCGAACAGG
RNAcentral lists this ribosomal RNA (253 nucleotides) under uncultured bacterium. RNAcentral describes it as "partial 16S ribosomal RNA". It matches the Rfam family "Bacterial small subunit ribosomal RNA", at positions 524 to 776 of the family's 1533-position model. The record is from RNAcentral.